RNAcentral lists this ribosomal RNA (242 nucleotides) under uncultured bacterium. Its description in RNAcentral is "partial 16S ribosomal RNA". It matches the Rfam family "Bacterial small subunit ribosomal RNA", at positions 116 to 350 of the family's 1533-position model. The record is from RNAcentral.
CGUGGGUAACCUGCCUUAUAGUGGGGGAUAGCCUUUCGAAAGGAAGAUUAAUACCGCAUAAGAUUGUAGUAUCGCAUGAUAUAGCAAUUAAAGGAGCAAUUCGCUAUAAGAUGGACCCGCGUCGCAUUAGCUAGCUGGUGAGGUAAUGGCUCACCAAGGCGACGAUGCGUAGCCGACCUGAGAGGGUGAUCGGCCACAUUGGGACUGAGACACGGCCCAGACUCCUACGGGAGGCAAGCAUG